This 321-nucleotide ribosomal RNA is filed under the name Salmonella enterica subsp. enterica serovar Agona. RNAcentral's name for it is "bacterial SSU rRNA". It matches the Rfam family "Bacterial small subunit ribosomal RNA", at positions 901 to 1222 of the family's 1533-position model. The record is from RNAcentral. Lineage: Bacteria; Pseudomonadati; Pseudomonadota; Gammaproteobacteria; Enterobacterales; Enterobacteriaceae.
UCAAAUGAAUUGACGGGGGCCCGCACAAGCGGUGGAGCAUGUGGUUUAAUUCGAUGCAACGCGAAGAACCUUACCUGGUCUUGACAUCCACGGAAGUUUUCAGAGAUGAGAAUGUGCCUUCGGGAACCGUGAGACAGGUGCUGCAUGGCUGUCGUCAGCUCGUGUUGUGAAAUGUUGGGUUAAGUCCCGCAACGAGCGCAACCCUUAUCCUUUGUUGCCAGCGAUUCGGUCGGGAACUCAAAGGAGACUGCCAGUGAUAAACUGGAGGAAGGUGGGGAUGACGUCAAGUCAUCAUGGCCCUUACGACCAGGGCUACACACG